This 462-nucleotide ribosomal RNA is filed under the name uncultured bacterium. RNAcentral's name for it is "partial 16S ribosomal RNA". It matches the Rfam family "Bacterial small subunit ribosomal RNA", at positions 28 to 507 of the family's 1533-position model. The record is from RNAcentral.
GACGAACGCUGGCGGCGUGCUUAACACAUGCAAGUCGAACGGAAAGGCCCUUCGGGGUCCUCGAGUGGCGAACGGGUGAGUAACACGUGGGUGAUCUGCCCUGCACUUUGGGAUAAGCCUGGGAAACUGGGUCUAAUACCGAAUAGGACCACGCGCUUCAUGGUGUGUGGUGGGAAGCUUUUGCGGUGUGGGAUGGGCCCGCGGCCUAUCAGCUUGUUGGUGGGGUAAUGGCCUACCAAGGCGACGACGGGUAGCCGGCCUGAGAGGGUGACCGGCCACACUGGGACUGAGAUACGGCCCAGACUCCUACGGGAGGCAGCAGUGGGGAAUAUUGCACAAUGGGCGCAAGCCUGAUGCAGCGACGCCGCGUGAGGGAUGACGGCCUUCGGGUUGUAAACCUCUUUCAAUAGGGACGAAGCGCAAGUGACGGUACCUAUAGAAGAAGCACCGGCCAACUACGUG